UACGUAGGGGGCAAGCGUUGUCCGGAAUCAUUGGGCGUAAAGAGCGUGUAGGCGGUCCGGUCAGUCGGUUGUGAAAGUCAAGGGCUCAACCCUUGAAUGCCGGCCGAUACUGCCGGGCUAGAGUCCGGAAGAGGUGAGUGGAAUUCCCGGUGUAGCGGUGAAAUGCGCAGAUAUCGGGAGGAACACCUAUGGCGAAGGCAGCUCGCUGGGACGUUACUGACGCUGAGACGCGAAAGCGUGGGGAGCAAACAGG
RNAcentral lists this ribosomal RNA (253 nucleotides) under uncultured bacterium. RNAcentral describes it as "partial 16S ribosomal RNA". It matches the Rfam family "Bacterial small subunit ribosomal RNA", at positions 524 to 776 of the family's 1533-position model. The record is from RNAcentral.